RNAcentral lists this ribosomal RNA (497 nucleotides) under uncultured bacterium. RNAcentral describes it as "partial 16S ribosomal RNA". It matches the Rfam family "Bacterial small subunit ribosomal RNA", at positions 28 to 507 of the family's 1533-position model. The record is from RNAcentral.
GAUGAACGCUGGCGGCGUGCCUAAUACAUGCAAGUCGAGCGAACGGACGAGAAGCUUGCUUCUCUGAUGUUAGCGGCGGACGGGUGAGUAACACGUGGAUAACCUACCUAUAAGACUGGGAUAACUUCGGGAAACCGGAGCUAAUACCGGAUGAUAUUUUGAACCGCAUGGUUCAAAAGUGAAAGACGGUCUUGCUGUCACUUAUAGAUGGAUCCGCGCUGCAUUAGCUAGUUGGUAAGGUAACGGCUUACCAAGGCAACGAUGCAUAGCCGACCUGAGAGGGGGAUCGGCCACACUGGAACUGAGACACGGUCCAGACUCCUACGGGAGGCAGCAGUAGGGAAUCUUCCGCAAUGGGAGAAAGCCUGACGGAGCAACGCCGCGUGAGUGAUGAAGGUCUUCGGAUCGUAAAACUCUGUUAUUAGGGAAGAACAUAUGUGUAAGUAACUGUGCACAUCUUGACGGUACCUAAUCAGAAAGCCACGGCUAACUACGUG